UGCCCUCUUAAAUCAGUCAAGCUAAUACUUUGAGAAGACUAGAAGAACACAGUAGAAGACAUAAUAUUAGAAGAUCAACCACUGAAGGGUCAGAAAGGAGAACAUUCCCCUUUAAGAGACUAUCAAUCUCAAAGUUUUAGAUCCAGACAGUCGAGAAGAAGCUCCCUAAACAGAAAUGCAUGUCAGCCGCAUGACAGAAUUGAGCAUAGCUACAGAAAAACAACUCUAAAUAUCCUGUAACUGAAACUGGUCCGGACUAUCACAAACUUCUGGACAUUCAGGACACCACGGGAUCACUCCUCCCAAUCUUGGAACCCAUACCCCAUCUCAGAGAGACUGUAGAGCUAUGUCACCUCCAGAACUAUCAAGAGAGGAGCAUCAUCCGCACACUUAAUCUCGAAGAGCUCAAGGCUCAAGGUCUCCACCACCA
Molecule: long non-coding RNA, 430 nt
Filed under: Brassica napus (rape)
Lineage: Eukaryota; Viridiplantae; Streptophyta; Magnoliopsida; Brassicales; Brassicaceae
Description: long non-coding RNA (BNAP_LNC026673)
Source: RNAcentral